Molecule: long non-coding RNA, 406 nt
Filed under: Rhopalosiphum maidis (corn leaf aphid)
Lineage: Eukaryota; Metazoa; Arthropoda; Insecta; Hemiptera; Aphididae
Description: uncharacterized LOC113549778
Source: RNAcentral
CUAGAAGCGCUUGGGAUAAUCACGCCACUGGACGUUGCUCUAUAUUGACCAUACGCCGACAGAGUAUAUAAGGAAGAGAUGUUGCUUCUUUAAGGCAUAACACAAUUUUUGUGCAAAUUUAAUCCUCAUUUUCACUUCAUUCAACGAAAACAAAUCAAAAUCCAAAAAUGGGUGCUGAAAAAGUAACAAUGAACAUCGUUGUCGUCGGACAAGUCCAAUCUGCCAAGGCCAUCAAAUCGGUCGCCAAAGCUACCCCAGCCACCAGCCAGUUGAUGAACUGUUAAUUCAUGACAUCAACCUCAAAUUCAAAAAUGCCAUAGCCCAAACUACACAUAAUUUUAUAAUUUGUAGAUAAUUAUAGCAAUAUGUGUUGACAUUGCAAAAUAAAUCAGUCUCUUCCGUCAAU